This 489-nucleotide ribosomal RNA is filed under the name uncultured bacterium. RNAcentral's name for it is "partial 16S ribosomal RNA". It matches the Rfam family "Bacterial small subunit ribosomal RNA", at positions 30 to 506 of the family's 1533-position model. The record is from RNAcentral.
AUUGAACGCUGGCGGCAGGCCUAACACAUGCAAGUCGAACGGUAACAGGAAGAAGCUUGCUUCUUUGCUGACGAGUGGCGGACGGGUGAGUAAUGUCUGGGAAACUGCCUGAUGGAGGGGGAUAACUACUGGAAACGGUAGCUAAUACCGCAUAACGUCGCAAGACCGAAAAGGGGGACCUUCGGGCCUCUUGCCAUCGGAUGUGCCCAGAUGGGAUUAGCUAGUAGGUGGGGUAACGGCUCACCUAGGCGACGAUCCCUAGCUGGUCUGAGAGGAUGACCAGCCACACUGGAACUGAGACACGGUCCAGACUCCUACGGGAGGCAGCAGUGGGGAAUAUUGCACAAUGGGCGCAAGCCUGAUGCAGCCAUGCCGCGUGUAUGAAGAAGGCCUGCGGGUUGUAAAGUACUUUCAGCGGGGAGGAAGGGAGUAAAGUUAAUACCUUUGCUCAUUGACGUUACCCGCAGAAGAAGCACCGGCUAACUCCGG